GUCGAACGAACCAUCCUGAUGAUUGAAGCUUGCUUCAUGAUUCAGACCUUGGUGAGUGGCGGACGGGUGAGUAACACGUGGGUAACCUGCCCAGAAGUGGGGGAUAACAUUUGGAAACAAGUGCUAAUACCGCAUAACAACUUAGAUCACAUGAUCUUUGUUUAAAAGAUGGUUUUGCUAUCUCUUCUGGAUGGACCCGCGGCGUAUUAGCUAGUUGGUGAGGUAAUAGCUCACCAAGGCGAUGAUACGUAGCCGACCUGAGAGGGUAAUCGGCCACAUUGGGACUGAGACACGGCCCAAACUCCUACGGGAGGCAGCAGUAGGGAAUCUUCCACAAUGGACGAAAGUCUGAUGGAGCAAUGCCGCGUGAGUGAAGAAGGUUUUCGGAUCGUAAAACUCUGUUGUUGAAGAAGAAUAUAUGUGAGAGUAACUGUUCACGUACUGACGGUAUUCAACCAGAAAGCCACGGCUAACUACGUGCCAGCAGCCGCGGUAAUACGUAGGUGGCAAGCGUUGUCCGGAUUUAUUGGGCGUAAAGAGAAUGUAGGCGGUUUAUUAAGUUUGAAGUGAAAGCCCUCGGCUCAACCGAGGAAGUGCUUCGAAAACUGGUAAACUUGAGUGC
This 622-nucleotide ribosomal RNA is filed under the name Companilactobacillus paralimentarius. RNAcentral's name for it is "bacterial SSU rRNA". It matches the Rfam family "Bacterial small subunit ribosomal RNA", at positions 61 to 649 of the family's 1533-position model. The record is from RNAcentral. Lineage: Bacteria; Bacillati; Bacillota; Bacilli; Lactobacillales; Lactobacillaceae.